UACGUAGGCAGCAAGCGUUGUUCGGAUUCACUGGGCGUAAAGGGUGCGUAGGUGGUGAGGUAAGUCGGAUGUGAAAGCUCGGAGCUCAACUCCGAAAUGGCAUUGGAAACUACCUUGCUCGAGGGUUGGAGGGGGGACUGGAAUGCUUGGUGUAGCAGUGAAAUGCGUAGAUAUCAAGCGGAACACCAGUGGCGAAGGCGAGUCCCUAGACAACUCCUGACACUGAGGCACGAAAGCUAGGGGA
Molecule: ribosomal RNA, 244 nt
Filed under: uncultured prokaryote
Description: partial 16S ribosomal RNA
Rfam family: Bacterial small subunit ribosomal RNA
Source: RNAcentral